Molecule: ribosomal RNA, 465 nt
Filed under: uncultured bacterium
Lineage: Bacteria
Description: partial 16S ribosomal RNA
Rfam family: Bacterial small subunit ribosomal RNA
Source: RNAcentral
GACGAACGCUGGCGGCGUGCUUAACACAUGCAAGUCGAGCGAGGCCCCUCCUUCGGGAGGGUGUCCUAGCGGCGAACGGGUGAGUAACACGUGGGCAACCUGCCCUCCGCUCUGGGAUAACUCCGGGAAACCGGGGCUAAUACCGGAUACGACCUCCACGGGCAUCUGCGGAGGUGGAAAGUUUUUCGGCUGAGGAUGGUCCCGCGGCCUAUCAGCUAGUUGGUGGGGUAGUGGCCCACCAAGGCGACGACGGGUAGCCGGCCUGAGAGGGCGACCGGCCACACGGGGACUAAGGGAGGCAGCAGACGCGAAUGGGAGGCAGCAGGGGAGAAUCUGACGGAACAGGGGAGAGUGAGUCGCGGAGACGUCGGGAGAGUAAAGAAGUGUUAUGAGGUAUAAACCAAUGUGUAAAGAGACAAGGCGAAAGUGACGGUACCUGCAGAGAAAGCACCGGCCAACUACGUG